This 396-nucleotide ribosomal RNA is filed under the name uncultured bacterium. Its description in RNAcentral is "bacterial SSU rRNA". It matches the Rfam family "Bacterial small subunit ribosomal RNA", at positions 84 to 492 of the family's 1533-position model. The record is from RNAcentral.
CCUGGUGGCGAGCGGCGAACGGGUGGGUAACACAUCGGAACAUGCCCAGUCGUGGGGGAUAACACUUCGAAAGAAGUGCUAAUACCGCAUACGUCCUGAGGGAGAAAGCGGGGGAUCGCAAGACCUCGCGCGAUUGGAGUGGCCGAUGUCAGAUUAGCUAGUUGGUGGGGUAAAGGCCUACCAAGGCAACGAUCUGUAGCUGGUCUGAGAGGAUGAUCAGCCACACUGGGACUGAGACACGGCCCAGACUCCUACGGGAGGCAGCAGUGGGGAAUUUUGGACAAUGGGGGCAACCCUGAUCCAGCCAUUCCGCGUGAGUGAAGAAGGCCUUCGGGUUGUAAAGCUCUUUCGGCAGGAACGAAACGGUGAGCUCUAACAUAGCUUGCUAAUGACGGU